RNAcentral lists this ribosomal RNA (253 nucleotides) under uncultured bacterium. Its description in RNAcentral is "partial 16S ribosomal RNA". It matches the Rfam family "Bacterial small subunit ribosomal RNA", at positions 524 to 776 of the family's 1533-position model. The record is from RNAcentral.
UACAGAGGUCUCAAGCGUUGUUCGGAUUCAUUGGGCGUAAAGGGCGCGUAGGCGGCGAGGUAAGUCGGGUGUGAAAUCUCAGAGCUCAACUCUGAAACUGCACUCGAUACUGCUUUGCUAGAGGACUGGAGAGGAGAUUGGAAUUCACGGUGUAGCAGUGAAAUGCGUAGAGAUCGUGAGGAAGACCAGUGGCGAAGGCGGGUCUCUGGACAGUUCCUGACGCUGAGGCGCGAAGGCCAGGGGAGCAAACGGG